UACAGAGGGUGCAAGCGUUAAUCGGAAUUACUGGGCGUAAAGCGUGCGUAGACGGUUAUUUAAGUCAGGUGUGAAAGCCCCGGGCUCAACCUGGGAAUUGCAUUUGAGACUGAAUAGCUAGGGUGCGGAAGAGGGAAGCGGAAUUUCCGGUGUAGCGGUGAAAUGCGUAGAGAUCGGCAGGAAGACCAAGGGGGAAGCCAGUCACCUGGGCCCGCGCUGACACUCAUGGACGACCGCGUGGGGAGCGAACCGG
This 253-nucleotide ribosomal RNA is filed under the name uncultured bacterium. RNAcentral describes it as "partial 16S ribosomal RNA". It matches the Rfam family "Bacterial small subunit ribosomal RNA", at positions 524 to 776 of the family's 1533-position model. The record is from RNAcentral.